GGGGGGCUGCAGUGGGGAAUAUUGGACAAUGGGCGAAAGCCUGAUCCAGCCAUGCCGCGUGUGUGAAGAAGGUCUUCGGAUUGUAAAGCACUUUAAGUUGGGAGGAAGGGCAGUAAGUUAAUACCUUUGUUUUGACGUUACCCGCAGAAGAAGCACCGGCUAACUCCGUGCCAGCAGCCGCGGUAAUACGAAGGGUGCAAGCGUUAAUCGGAAUUACUGGGCGUAAAGCGCACGCAGGC
Molecule: ribosomal RNA, 239 nt
Filed under: Clostridioides difficile
Lineage: Bacteria; Bacillati; Bacillota; Clostridia; Peptostreptococcales; Peptostreptococcaceae
Description: partial 16S ribosomal RNA
Rfam family: Bacterial small subunit ribosomal RNA
Source: RNAcentral